This 868-nucleotide small RNA is filed under the name Pongo abelii (Sumatran orangutan). RNAcentral describes it as "processed transcript". The record is from RNAcentral. Lineage: Eukaryota; Metazoa; Chordata; Mammalia; Primates; Hominidae.
GAAUAAGAUGGCGGGGAAGAAGAAUGUUCUGUCGUCCCUCGCGGUUUACGCGGAAGAUUCAGAGCCCGAGUCUGAUGGCGAGGCUGGAAUCGAGGCGGUGGGCAGCGCGGCUGAGGAGAAAGGCGGAUUGGUAUCUGAUGCCUAUGGGGAGGAUGACUUUUCUCGUCUAGGGGGUGAUGAAGAUGGUUAUGAAGAAGAAGAAGAUGAGAACAGUAGACAGUCGGAAGAUGACGAUUCAGAGACUGAAAAACCUGAGGCUGAUGACCCAAAGGAUAAUACAGAAGCAGAAAAGCGAGACCCCCAGGAACUCGUGGCCUCCUUUUCUGAAAGAGUUCGGAACAUGUCGCCUGAUGAAAUCAAGAUCCCGCCAGAACCCCCUGGCAGAUGUUCAAAUCACUUGCAAGACAAGAUCCAGAAGCUUUAUGAACGAAAGAUAAAGGAGGGAAUGGAUAUGAACUACAUUAUCCAAAGGAAGAAAGAAUUUCGGAACCCUAGGUGAGAGGUCUUAGGACCAGAGCUAUGUCUGGUCUUGCUCCAUUUAAUGCUCAAGCUAGUGACAUACAGGGGAAAGAGCAUGGCCCUUGUGUGGGUCUGAGUGUGGUAAGCCCAAUCCAGCUAUGCAGACUGAAGGUCAGUGAGACAAAACUCAGCCAUCACCUUGACCCCAUGCUCCUCCCGGCCCCUAGUUAACAGGUCCAUCUCCCUGGGAGGGUGGAGGGCCAUCAGGAAGCUUGCUUAGAGCGGCUGAGCUGGGUUUAAAGGUUUUGAAGGUUUUGUGUCAGCCCCAGGAGCUGGAUGGUUCAGGUCCCAUGCAGGGACGUGGACUUGUGCCUGCUCAGCGCCGGUGCUGUUCUUUCAGCAUCUACGA